CUAAGUUUAUCUUUGGUUGUAGCCAGGAAGUCAUCUCCCUACAUGAUAUGAUUUGGUACAGUAGAGGCAGUUCUACUGAAAGCUACUUGGCACUGCCCUGCUACAUCUCUCAACCCUACCCUAAAAGGACCAACUAUAGAGCAUUUAGAUGUGUACAUCUGGAGGAAGGUGUUCUGGAAAGAGGACCUCAAUUCUGAGACUCACACUUUCAUUCCCAAGCCUGAUGGGACCAGUGUUCCCUGCAAUAUUCCCACUGAACUGAACGGAACAUACAUCAACUAUAGGCCUUUCAUCACAUUUCGAUGAAGAAGAAUUCUGUUAUUCCAGACUUUCAGUCUGUUUGUUUUUAAACACUGUGGAAGCCUAAAAUAAAACAGCAUUAUAUUAGCUCCUGGCAAUAAGGAAGUUAAACAUCUGACUAUCAACUGGAAGGGAAUCAGGCCCAUCUAUUAUCACUAUCCAAGUAACCAUGGAAAGAUGCAUCUCUACCUUAUAUAAAGUUUUUAUGACAAGGAGAAGGAUGAUGAUGUCACAGCAACAAAAGGCCAACCUGCCAACUGUGAGGACACCACACUCAUCUCAAGCAUCUAUUCUGAAAUUAACUGUUUGUUCAUUUAUCUCCAGUGUCACAAACUGAACCUUGUAUGACUUAGCUUUUU
Molecule: long non-coding RNA, 659 nt
Organism: Mauremys reevesii (Reeves's turtle)
Lineage: Eukaryota; Metazoa; Chordata; Testudines; Geoemydidae
Exons: 7
Source: RefSeq, a predicted model, not a curated record